This 72-nucleotide transfer RNA is filed under the name Rickettsiales bacterium. Its description in RNAcentral is "tRNA-Cys". It matches the Rfam family "tRNA". From Rfam's summary of the family: Transfer RNA (tRNA) molecules are approximately 80 nucleotides in length. Lineage: Bacteria; Pseudomonadati; Pseudomonadota; Alphaproteobacteria; Rickettsiales. The record is from RNAcentral.
GACUAAAUAGCAUAAUUGGUAAUGUCGAAGAUUGCAAAUCUUUUUAUAAGGGUUCAAAUCCCUUUUUAGUCU